GGUUGACCUCGGAUCAGGUAGGGAUACCCGCUGAACUUAAGCAUAUCAAUAAGCGGAGGAAAAGAAACCAACCGGGAUUGCCUCAGUAACGGCGAGUGAAGCGGCAACAGCUCAAAUUUGAAAUCUGGCCCUCGCGGGGUCCGAGUUGUAAUUUGUAGAGGGUGUUUCGGGUGCGGUGCCGGUCUAAGUUCCUUGGAACAGGACGUCAUAGAGGGUGAGAAUCCCGUCUGCGAGUCGGCCACCAACCCCGGGUGAAACCCCUUCGACGAGUCGAGUUGUUUGGGAAUGCAGCUCAAAAUGGGUGGUAAAUUUCAUCUAAAGCUAAAUACCGGCCAGAGACCGAUAGCGCACAAGUAGAGUGAUCGAAAGAUGAAAAGCACUUUGGAAAGAGAGUUAAAAAGUACGUGAAAUUGUUGAAAGGGAAGCGCUUGCGACCAGACCUGCCCCCGGGUGAUCAUCCGCCAUUCGUGGCGGUGCACUCGCCCGGACGCAGGCCAGCAUCGGUUCGGGCGGCGGGACAAAGGACUCGGGAACGUAGCUCUCUCCGGGGAGCCUUAUAGCCCGGGUCGCCAUGCCGCCCGCCUGGACCGAGGACCGCGCUUCGGCUAGGAUGCUGGCGUAAUGGUCGUAAGCGACCCGUCUUGAAACACGGACCAAGGAGUCUACCAUCCAUGCGAGUGUUUGGGUGUCAAACCCAGGCGCGGAAUGAAAGUGAACGGAGGUGAGACCCCGCAAGGGCGCAUCAUCGACCGAUCCAGAUGUCUUCGGAUGGAUUUGAGUACGAGCAUGGCUGGUGGGACCCGAAAGAUGAUGAACUAUGCCUGAAUAGGGUGAAGCCAGAGGAAACUCUGGUGGAGGCUCGCAGCGGUUCUGACGUGCAAAUCGAUCGUCGAAUUUGGGUAUAGGGGCGAAAGACCAAUCGAAUCAU
RNAcentral lists this ribosomal RNA (928 nucleotides) under Psoroma tenue. RNAcentral describes it as "eukaryotic LSU rRNA". It matches the Rfam family "Eukaryotic large subunit ribosomal RNA", at positions 1 to 943 of the family's 3401-position model. The record is from RNAcentral. Lineage: Eukaryota; Fungi; Ascomycota; Lecanoromycetes; Peltigerales; Pannariaceae.